ACAAAGGCUCUUUUCAGAGCCACUCACACUAUCAAAGAAAAAGCU
Molecule: regulatory RNA element, 45 nt
Organism: Loxodonta africana (African savanna elephant)
Lineage: Eukaryota; Metazoa; Chordata; Mammalia; Proboscidea; Elephantidae
Rfam family: Histone 3' UTR stem-loop
About the family: The mRNAs of metazoan histone genes lack a poly-A tail.
Source: Rfam